GGGGAAUCUUGGACAAUGGGGGCAACCCUGAUCCAGCGAUGCCGCGUGGGUGAUGAAGGCCUUCGGGUUGUAAAGCCCUUUCGGCGGGGACGAUAGUGACGGUACCCGCAGAAGAAGCCUCGGCUAACUCCGUGCCAGCAGCCGCGGUAAGACGGAGGAGGCUAGCGUUGUUCGGAAUUACUGGGCGUAAAGCGUGCGUAGGCGGUGCCUCAAGUUUGGUGUGAAAUCUCCCGGCUCAACCGGGAGGGUGCGCCGAAAACUGAGGUGCUCGAGUGUGGGAGAGGUAGGCGGAAUUCCUGGUGUAGCGGUGAAAUGCGUAGAUAUCAGGAGGAACACCGGCGGUGUAGACGGCUUACUGGACCAUAACUGACGCUGAGGCACGAAAGUGUGGGGAGCAAA
RNAcentral lists this ribosomal RNA (399 nucleotides) under uncultured bacterium. Its description in RNAcentral is "bacterial SSU rRNA". It matches the Rfam family "Bacterial small subunit ribosomal RNA", at positions 356 to 772 of the family's 1533-position model. The record is from RNAcentral.